Molecule: ribosomal RNA, 240 nt
Filed under: uncultured beta proteobacterium
Lineage: Bacteria; Pseudomonadati; Pseudomonadota; Betaproteobacteria
Description: partial 16S ribosomal RNA
Rfam family: Bacterial small subunit ribosomal RNA
Source: RNAcentral
CCGUAAGAAUAAGCACCGGCUAACUACGUGCCAGCAGCCGCGGUAAUACGUAGGGUGCAAGCGUUAAUCGGAAUUACUGGGCGUAAAGCGUGCGCAGGCGGUUAUGUAAGACAGAUGUGAAAUCCCCGGGCUCAACCUGGGAACUGCAUUUGAGACUGUAUAGCUGGAGUGCGGCAGAGGGGGAUGGAAUUCCGCGUGUAGCAGUGAAAUGCGUAGAUAUGCGGAGGAACACCGAUGGCG